This 519-nucleotide ribosomal RNA is filed under the name uncultured Glomus. RNAcentral's name for it is "SSU rRNA". It matches the Rfam family "Eukaryotic small subunit ribosomal RNA", at positions 569 to 1092 of the family's 1831-position model. Lineage: Eukaryota; Fungi; Glomeromycota; Glomeromycetes; Glomerales; Glomeraceae. The record is from RNAcentral.
AGCAGCCGCGGUAAUUCCAGCUCCAAUAGCGUAUAUUAAAGUUGUUGCAGUUAAAAAGCUCGUAGUUGAAUUUCGGGAUCAAUUUGUUGGUCGUGCCUCGGUACGUACUGGCAUUAUUGGUUUCUACCUUCUGAAGAACCUUGAUGUCAUUAAUUUGGUGUCUUGGGGAAUCAGGACUGUUACUUUGAAAAAUUAGAGUGUUUAAAGCAGGCAUACGCUUGAAUACAUUAGCAUGGAAUAAUGAAAUAGGACGUUUGAUUCUAUUUUGUUGGUUUCUAGGAUCGACGUAAUGAUUAAUAGGGAUAGUUGGGGGCAUUAGUAUUCAAUUGUCAGAGGUGAAAUUCUUGGAUUUAUUGAAGACUAACUACUGCGAAAGCAUUUGCCAAGGAUGUUUUCAUUAAUCAAGAACGAAAGUUAGGGGAUCGAAGACGAUCAGAUACCGUCGUAGUCUUAAACCAUAAACUAUGCCGACUAGGGAUCGGAUGAUGUUAUUUUUAAUGACUCAUUCGGCGCCUUAAC